RNAcentral lists this ribosomal RNA (116 nucleotides) under Labrus bergylta (ballan wrasse). Lineage: Eukaryota; Metazoa; Chordata; Actinopteri; Labriformes; Labridae. The record is from RNAcentral.
GCUUACGGCCAUACCACCCUGAACACGCCCGAUCUCGUCAGAUCUCGGAAGCUAAGCAGGGUCGGCCUGGUUAGUACUUGGAUGGGAGACCGUGGGAAUACCAGGUGCUGUAAGCU